CGGGGGGGGCAAGCGUUGUUCGGAAUUACUGGGCGUAAAGGGCGCGUAGGCGGCUCGCUAAGUCGGGUGUGAAGACUCUGGGCUCAACCCAGAGCCUGCAUUCGAAACUGACGGGCUAGAGUUCUGGAGGGGAAAGCGGAAUUCCUGGUGUAGCAGUGAAAUGCGUAGAUAUCAGGAGGAACACCGGUGGCGAAGGCGGCUUUCUGGACAGAAACUGACGCUGAUGCGCGAAAGCUAGGGGAGCAAACAGGAUUAGAUACCCUGGCAGUCCUAGCCCUAAACGAUGGAUACUUGCUGUGAGGGGGAUUGAAUCCCUUCGUGGCGAAGCUAACGCAUUAAGUAUCCCGCCUGGGGAGUACGGUCGCAAGGCUG
RNAcentral lists this ribosomal RNA (372 nucleotides) under uncultured organism. RNAcentral's name for it is "bacterial SSU rRNA". It matches the Rfam family "Bacterial small subunit ribosomal RNA", at positions 526 to 896 of the family's 1533-position model. The record is from RNAcentral.